UACUACCACCCCUACACGACACCCUACCACCAUACCUUCACGACCCCCUACUACCAUACCUUCACGACCCCCUACCCCCAUACCUUCACGACCCUCUACCACCCCAUCACGACCCCCUACCACCCCUACAACCGGCCGCAAUCUCUGAGAAAUUAUAUCCACCUGAGCGUGGAGCCCAGUGCAGCUACAGGUAUGACGGUGACGUGCAGGCUGGAUCCGAUCCUAACCCUAUACCUAACCCUAACCCAAGGCACGGACGCCGAGAGCGUUGUUUCCAUGGUGAUCAAGAGGCUUCAGCUGCCCCAGCGGGACAUUAAAAACGUGGCAACCAUCACAGCCUUCCAUCCCGACACCCCGAGGUUGGACAGUGCCAUACACGGCGCUGAGGUCAAAGGU
Long non-coding RNA from Physella acuta, 396 nucleotides. RefSeq lists it as uncharacterized. NCBI's taxonomy places the organism in Eukaryota, Metazoa, Mollusca, Gastropoda, Physidae. The record is from RefSeq and is a predicted model, not a curated record.